Molecule: ribosomal RNA, 407 nt
Filed under: bacterium enrichment culture clone ALO1_GLFRUDD03G2HC2
Lineage: Bacteria
Description: bacterial SSU rRNA
Rfam family: Bacterial small subunit ribosomal RNA
Source: RNAcentral
GAGUUUGAUCCUGGCUCAGAUUGAACGCUGGCGGCAUGCCUUACACAUGCAAGUCGAACGGCAGCACGGGAGCUUGCUCCUGGUGGCGAGUGGCGAACGGGUGAGUAAUGCAUCGGAACGUAUCCUGGAGUGGGGGAUAACGUAGCGAAAGUUACGUUAAUACCGCAUAUUCUGUGAGCAGGAAAGCGGGGGACCUUCGGGCCUCGCGCUCUUGGAGCGGCCGAUGUCGGAUUAGCUAGUUGGUGAGGUAAAGGCUCACCAAGGCGACGAUCCGUAGCAGGUCUGAGAGGAUGAUCUGCCACACUGGAACUGAGACACGGUCCAGACUCCUACGGGAGGCAGCAGUGGGGAAUUUUGGACAAUGGGGGCAACCCUGAUCCAGCCAUGCCGCGUGAGUGAAGAAGGCC